UACGGAGGGGGCUAGCGUUGUUCGGAAUUACUGGGCGUAAAGCGCACGUAGGCGGCUUUGCAAGUUAGAGGUGAAAGCCCGGGGCUCAACUCCGGAAUUGCCUUUAAAACUGCAUCGCUAGAAUUGUGGAGAGGUAAGUGGAAUUCCGAGUGUAGAGGUGAAAUUCGUAGGUAUUCGGAAGAACACCAGUGGCGAAGGCGACUUACUGGACACGUAUUGACGCUGAGGUGCGAAAGCGUGGGGAGCAAACAGG
RNAcentral lists this ribosomal RNA (253 nucleotides) under uncultured bacterium. Its description in RNAcentral is "partial 16S ribosomal RNA". It matches the Rfam family "Bacterial small subunit ribosomal RNA", at positions 524 to 776 of the family's 1533-position model. The record is from RNAcentral.